CCUCUCCUUUUUAUCCUUUUUUUUGUUAGCGGUUCAAAAUCGUUAUCUUUCU
This 52-nucleotide transfer RNA is filed under the name Diervilla sessilifolia. RNAcentral's name for it is "partial tRNA-Leu". The record is from RNAcentral. Lineage: Eukaryota; Viridiplantae; Streptophyta; Magnoliopsida; Dipsacales; Caprifoliaceae.